RNAcentral lists this ribosomal RNA (364 nucleotides) under Speleonectes gironensis. Its description in RNAcentral is "bacterial SSU rRNA". It matches the Rfam family "Eukaryotic small subunit ribosomal RNA", at positions 1450 to 1804 of the family's 1831-position model. Lineage: Eukaryota; Metazoa; Arthropoda; Remipedia; Nectiopoda; Speleonectidae. The record is from RNAcentral.
GCAAUAACAGGUCUGUGAUGCCCUUAGAUGUCCUGGGCUGCAGGUGUGCCACAAUGUUGGCAUCAGUGGUCUGGCACUGGACCCUCUCCGAGAGGAGGAGGGAACACCCCAAACGUCAUCAUGGUAGGGAGUGGGGCUUGCAAUGAUCCCCAUGAACUGUGAAUGCCCUGUAGGGGCCAAUCACCAUUCAGCCCUGAAUGAGUCCCUGCCCUUUGUACACACUGCCCAUCACUACUGCCGAUGGCUGGGUGGGUGAGGGCACUGGACUGUGAGCCAGACACUGAUGCUGGUCGGAUGAGACAGAGCAUGGGAAGGUGUCCAAAUCUGCCUGGCUAGAGGAAGUAAAAGUCAUAACAAGGUUUCC